GCUAUACAUGCAGUCGGACGGGAUCCGGGAGUAGCUUGCUACUUCCGGUGAGAGUGGCGCACGGGUGCGUAACGCGUGAGCAACCUGCCCAUAUCAGGGGGAUAGCCCGGAGAAAUCCGGAUUAACACCGCAUGACACGCCGGGACGGCAUCGUUCCGGCGUCAAAUAUUCAUAGGAUAUGGAUGGGCUCGCGUGACAUUAGCUAGUUGGUGGGGUAACGGCCCACCAAGGCGACGAUGUCUAGGGGCUCUGAGAGGAGAAUCCCCCACACUGGUACUGAGACACGGACCAGACUCCUACGGGAGGCAGCAGUAAGGAAUAUUGGUCAAUGGGGGCAACCCUGAACCAGCCAUGCCGCGUGCAGGACGACUGCCCUAUGGGUUGUAAACUGCUUUUGCCGGGGAAUAAACCCCACUACGUGUAGUGGGCUGAACGUACCCGGAGAAUAAGGAUCGGCUAACUCCGUGCCAGCAGCCGCGGUAAUACGGAGGAUCCGAGCGUUAUCCGGAUUUAUUGGGUUUAAAGGGUGCGUAGGCGGCACUUUAAGUCAGGGGUGAAAGACGGCAGCUCAACUGUCGCAGUGCCCUUGAUACUGAAGUGCUUGAAUGCGGUUGAAGACGGCGGAAUGAGACAAGUAGCGGUGAAAUGCAUAGAUAUGUCU
Molecule: ribosomal RNA, 661 nt
Filed under: Sphingobacterium daejeonense
Lineage: Bacteria; Pseudomonadati; Bacteroidota; Sphingobacteriia; Sphingobacteriales; Sphingobacteriaceae
Description: bacterial SSU rRNA
Rfam family: Bacterial small subunit ribosomal RNA
Source: RNAcentral